GAUGAACGCUAGCGGCAGGCCUAAUACAUGCAAGUCGGACGGGAUUCAGGAGCUUGCUUCUGAUGAGAGUGGCGCACGGGUGCGUAACACGUAUGUAACCUACCUUUAUCAGGGGGAUAGCCUCUCGAAAGAGAGAUUAAGCCCGCAUAAAAUCACAGCACAGCAUUGUGUAAUGAUCAAAUAUUUAUAGGAUAAGGAUGGGCAUGCGGAACAUUAGCUAGAUGGCGGGGUAACGGCCCACCAUGGCGACGAUGUUUAGGGGAUCUGAGAGGAUGGCCCCCCGCACUGGUACUGAGACACGGACCAGACUCCUACGGGAGGCAGCAGUAAGGAAUAUUGGUCAAUGGGCGGAAGCCUGAACCAGCCAUGCCGCGUGCAGGAAGACGGCCCUACGGGUUGUAAACUGCUUUUAUACGGGAAUAAACCCAGAUACGUGUAUCUGGCUGAAUGUACUGUAAGAAUAAGGAUCGGCUAACUCCGUG
RNAcentral lists this ribosomal RNA (482 nucleotides) under uncultured bacterium. RNAcentral's name for it is "partial 16S ribosomal RNA". It matches the Rfam family "Bacterial small subunit ribosomal RNA", at positions 28 to 507 of the family's 1533-position model. The record is from RNAcentral.